RNAcentral lists this long non-coding RNA (889 nucleotides) under Homo sapiens (human). RNAcentral's name for it is "HSALNT0320314". The record is from RNAcentral. Lineage: Eukaryota; Metazoa; Chordata; Mammalia; Primates; Hominidae.
UCUCAGACUGCUGUGCUAGCAAUCAGCGAGACUCCGUGGGCGUAGGACCCUACGAGCCAGGUGUGGGAUGUAAUCUCAUGGUGAGCCAUUUUUUUAAGCCGGUCUGAAAAGCGCAAUAUUCGGGUGGGAGUGACCUGAUUUUCCAGAGCUGGUAUACGAUGCCUCUCCAGAAUCACCUUGUUCUUUCUGGAUCUAUUCAGAAUCUGAAACUCCUAGAAAAGAAAAAUGCAAGAUGCAUGAGUGUUGAUGUCUGACCAAACUCCAGGGUAGUGGAAAGAGUGUCCUUUUGCCUCAUAUCACCUUUGCUGAACACAGGUGCUAAAUGGAUGGCAGGUUGAGAGUUGAGACAGGAUCUCACUAUGUUGCCUUGCAUGGACUGGAACUCCUUGGCUCAAGAAAUCUUCUUGCCUCAGCCUCCCAAAUAGCUAGGACUAUAUGCACAUGCUACUACACCUAGUGGAAAAUGAAGCACAGAGAAGUUCAGUGAUGGACCUCAGAUACUACCAGCAGAAAGCAGAAGAGCUAGGAUUUCAACUUAGGAUGUCUGGAUCCACAGUCUGCACUCCUACCCACUAUGCUACACUGCCUCUAACUAUGAGGAAGCAAGGGCAUUUUUUUUUUUCUGGUGACUAAAAAGAUAAGAGUUCAAGUAUGUGGCUCCUGAUAAUCUAACUUAUACAGCCUGGAAAAAUUGAUAGUUACUAUAUCCAGACUGUCUCAUUCAAUUAACAGUUUCUCAAGUAAUCUUCUAGUUACUGUCGUAUUUUAUCUGUAUCAACUUAGCAAACCAAGUCCAAAACAUUUUAUAUGUGUCUAUCUUUCCUGCUGUUCAUAUUAUUGAGUUAGCCAAAUAAAUUCAAUUUUUUUUCUACUGUUUGUUUCUCACAAA